Molecule: ribosomal RNA, 261 nt
Filed under: uncultured bacterium
Lineage: Bacteria
Description: partial 16S ribosomal RNA
Rfam family: Bacterial small subunit ribosomal RNA
Source: RNAcentral
GUCCACGCCGUAAACGAUGUCUGCUAGCCGUUGGGAUCCUUGAGGUCUCGGUGGCGCAGCUAACGCGAUAAGCAGACCGCCUGGGGAGUACGGCCGCAAGGUUAAAACUCAAAUGAAUUGACGGGGCCCGGCACAAGCGGUGGAGCAUGUGGUUUAAUUCGAUGCAACGCGAAGAACCUUACCAGGUCUUGACAUCCAGCGAACUGCCCAGAGAUGGCGGGUGCCUUCGGAACGCUGAGACAGGUGCUGCAUGGCUGUCGU